CCCACCUUUGUGACUGUGGUAAAUAUAAGCUCUUACCCCGGCCAGCAAAUCCACACUGUUCACCCUGCUCCCACACAGGCACCUGGGCUGUUCCUCACACCGGGAAGCUCUUUUCUGCCCCUGAGCCUUUGGAUUUGCUGCUCCUUCUGCCUGGACUACCCUUCUUCCCAGAUGUUUAAAGGAUUGGUCCCUUCUCAUCAUUUAUGUCUCAACUCAAAUGCCAAUGUCCUCAUUUGUUUCUUCGUGCAGUGGCUUUUGUCCCUGACCCCCCCAGCUUUGAUGUAUACUCUAUGAGGCAGAAACCCUGCUGUCCUUCCUCACCAUUCACCAUGAGCAGGGUCUAUAACAUACUGGAGGUACAGCAGGUGCUCAUGAAAUAUUUAUUGAGUGAAUUAUGGCAGUGGUGACAAAUACCUUAUUUCUCCACAAGGCUUUAAACCAUAGCUAUAAAGUGUGGUAAAAAAUGUAUGACUGUGAAAAAAUUUUUAAUUAUUACAAUAAGAGACAUACUGUCAUUAAUCCCCUUCAAAAUACUUUUUUUUGCUUUGAACACAUUUAUCUCAUCAUUCCUGCCGCUUCCUGAAGCACUUCUGGAAGUCUUCCUUUGUGAGAGUCUUUAAUUGUGCUAUCACACCUGCCUUGAUGUCCUGAAUCUAUCCAAAACAUUUACUUUUCGUGGUCAUUUUGGCUUGGGAGAAGAGCCAGAACUCUGUGCCAGAUCCAGGGAGUAAGGUAGGUAAAGACACAGCACCAUAUUUUUAUGGGCCUGCCUUUCCCUUGGAUAGCACUCAGCAGCAGCCGCCGCCUCUGUUCCUGAUCACACUUUGUAAAGACACUCAUGAAAGAGGACUUCCAGAACUGCUUCAGAGAGUUGCAAGAAAGAUGGGAUAAGCAUGUUUAAAGCAAGGGGGAGUAUUUUGAGGGAGAUUCAUGACAAUGUGUCUUUACUAUAAUAAAUGUUCAGGAAAAAUAUAUAUUCAUAUUCACCAUAUCUUUUGAUCACACCACAUAGAUGUUUUCAGCCUUUCCCCAAAUCUGCCAGGUUCUGAUUCGGCCCGUCUGAGGGGGUUCUCAUGCCUCCAGUCCCCUCAGGGCUGUAGAUGUCCAAUGCCGUGAUUUAGGCUCUGGAGAGGAAGAGAACCAGACAGAGGUCACCAGAGCUGAGCCUCUCACUGUCCUGCCCCAGGUGGCCUGGCUCUCCCUGGCCAGCCCUGCAACCAGGCCCCCAGGUUGGUGUUGGGGCUGAACACAGAGGAAGCAGUGGCUGCUGAGCUCACGGAGUCUGGCCAAGCCACGUCUGAGAGGCCCUCUCGGGAGGAGAGGCGAGGCAUGGGCCGUGGUGCCCUGUGGCUUUUUCCUCCUGGCCUCAUAAACAUCCAUCUCUGCUAGGAGACGCUAUAUUCAGUGGGAAGCUGAGAAACUGAAAUCGCAACCAGACAUAAAUACGGGGCAUCCCCCCCCUUCCUCUGUGGGGAGCGGCAGCCUAGCCUGGCAGACACAGCAGGUGGAGGGGCUCCCACCCCAAGACAGCCAGGGCCACAUCACCUGCUCCCGGCACAGUAACUGGCCCAUGUGACAUAACCCUUGCUCUUCUCUGUGCCCAGGCACCAGCUAUGACAGCUACAAGCUGUUUCUCCGUGGGCAAAUCACUCAACCGCUCUGAUCCCCCCCGGCCUCGUGGGGGAAAUACGUGAUAAAAGCACCUGCCCCACGGUGCUCACAGAGCACAGAGAACACGCUCCACAAGGCUCUUAGGACAGCGUCUCUCUCAGCACAUUUCUAAAAAUAUGCUUUAUUGGAUUUCUCCUUUCGAGCUACAGAGGCAGUACACGUCCCUGACAACAUGCCCAUCGGCAGAGAGGUGAGCGGAAGAAAAGCUCUCAUCUGCCUUCCCUCCAACCUCCCGGGCCCUGCCCGCCCCCACGAGUUCCCGCAGGAGGUGACAGUCAGCGCUUUGCCUUCUCCGCUCUUCAGGGCCCUUCUCGGCACGUGCGGCUUCAUUUUCACAGAAAUGGCCCAAUUUCGCAUGCCUUUCCCGGGCUAGUGUAGCUCUCAGAGGUCCGCGUGAACUUCUGAGUCCCCGCUGGUGGCAGCCGGGCCACGUCCCUGUCCAGCCCAGCCGCGCUGCAGGACCCGUCUCCCGCCUGCUUUCUCUGGGCGGAGCCGCAGGGCACCGGGCAAAGGGCGCGGUUUUGUGCUCCGGCCCGGGCCGUGCCGCGGACCAGGUGAUCUGAGCGGCCCGGCCCAGCAGCGCGGGCCACACUGGCUCCGGGUCUCCGGGGGGCGCUCCCUUCCUGACACCAGGCUGGACACACGAGCGAAGGCCCGCGUCACCUUAUCCCUUGCCACGGCCCAGAGGGACAGGUGAUGGGUGGGGUGGGCGGCAGGUGAGGUGAGGCCUUGGGAUUGGGCCCCCAGACUCUGAGCAGUGAAGCCCGCGGGUGUCAGCCCAGGAAUGCUCCUGUGCGCCGCGGCUCUCAGGCAGGUCCCUGGGUGCCGCUCCUCACCGAUGGUCACAGACCGACCCAGAGAACGACACGGGGAGCCAGGUGGAGGGACACCUGGGCAAAGGCCCCGCCCAGGCCACUCUGGCUCCCAGACCAGGGUCUCCUCCCUGGCCAGGCCUGGGUGCUGUCCCCUGAGCUGGCUCCCUGCGCGCCACCCUUACCUCAUGUCAUCCGGUUACUCGGCCAGCAAUUAUUGAGCGCCUCCUGUAUGCAGGGCACCGUGCCGUGCCAGGGGGUGUGCUGGUGAACAGAUGAGGCCACAUCCUCCCGGCUACCAGGGUCCUCCAAACAUGCCACAUCCCGUCCCGGGAACUGUGCGGACCGUAGUUACUUCAGGGGCGCAGGGGACUUGGCAGGCAGGAUUACAUGGGGGUUGAGAGAUGAGAUAAUUACUCCGCAUUACCCCCUCGGGGCCCAUAUCAACGCAGCCCUUCCCCGAGGGAGGCAGGAAGGCCAGCAGGAGAAAGUGGGGAGGGAGGCAGGGAUCAGAGACCUGAGGAGUUGCUCCCGGAGGGAGGGCCAGGGGCCCAGGAUGCCAGCGGCCCAGAGCCCCUCCCCUCGCUUCCAGGAGACAGGCAGCCCCGUCCUGUUCUAGACUUCGGCCCCCAGAACUGUAAGGUAAGAAGCGUGCAUUGCUUUAAGCUUCCAGUUUCUGGAAAUCUGUGACACCACCCUCAGGAAACUAAUACAAACGUCUAGCAAGAGGAGGCAGAUCCUAAGUUCCGUUAGGACAAGAUGUGAAAUCUGGUGAGAACACAGUGCAAGAGAAAGCACAGCCCCUCCUGAUGAGAAAGGAUCGCGGGUUUCAGAUCAGCGACAGCAGAGCAUUCCAAGUACCGGCUCCUCUGUGCACACAGCCUCGUACAGCUGCCCGGGUCGCACACUCACCGAGCCUGCCCUGAAUCCCACCACCAGGAGUCCAGCGGAGCAAUCAGGGCAGAAGUAAAAGCACAGGGUCCCGAGAGAGUGUGGGACCGUGGGGAAGCCAGGCUGGGGUGCGCAGAGCUCUCUGAGGGCCACAGUUUGCUCUGGGGCUGGGGAGUGGGAGGUGUGGGAGGGCUCUGCGCCCCCUCACCUGGAGAAGCAGCGCAUCCCCCGCAUCCCCCGCAUCCCCGGCGGCGAGGAGCGCCCUUCCGCCUUCCCAGGCUUGGCCUCUCCUCCCCUCCCCUCCCCUCCCCUCCGGCCUUCCUUUAAUUUCCUCGGCUGGCUUUAACACCGCCCUUCCGGGGUCAACUCCGCCCUUCACCUCUGUCCCUGUGGACCGUUUACAGUCAGCUCAGCGUUGGGGUACCUUUGGACUGAGAGUAGCGGAGGUGGUGUGGGGCGCCCAUCCACCUUCCCCCAAGACGCCGCCUCCCCUGCCGCCACGGAAGCGGAGAAGCGGAGCUCGCACGCUGCUAACCAGAGCCCGUGCAUCCCCCUCUUCCUCUUCCGCUCCAGGGCGCAGGUGCUCCCCUCCUGUCCUUGAGUUAAUCCAGGUGCCACAACGCCCUGGGCUCAGCGAAACUUGCUUAAACCUCCCCGGAUUCUCACCCUCACCUGCUCUCCACUUCGCGAGGAGAUGGAGGCCCAAGGCUCCCAGAGUGCUGGGAUUGCCGGCGGCGUGUGUCACCGCCACAACCAGCCUCGAGUGGUUUUGAAGGCUGCCGCACCACGCGCUAUCCUGGCUGUAACAGCAAGGAGGAAGAGGGCACUUCAUCCUACGUUCAAGCAGAUACUGGCGCCAGGGUUCUGGGUGAAUGCAGAUGGGCCCCUCCUCUGCCCCUCAAGAAUGGCUCUCUGUCCUGGGGAGUCACUGGCUGGGGCUGGGGAUGAACCCAGGUGAGUCACCUGCAAAGGUAAACACUAACUGGCUCCCUGUUUCCUAAGCACCUACUUGGUGCCAGGUGCCGCGUGGCAUCUGACAGGCUUUGAGGUUAGUCCUGUUUAUGAACCCUGUUUCACAAAGGUUCAGGGAAGCAAUGGGGCUAGGCCAGGGGUGCACAGAAGUCAGGGGGAUCUGAACAAGUCCCCUGCCACCUUCCAAUCACCUCUGAUCACGUCUCCUCAGGAGAUGCCAGGGGCUUGUCUCUGGGGUGACCGGGAGGCCGAGAACUUCCUCUGGUUCUGACAGAGCUUUCCAGAAUCCGACAGCUCCUUGAGUGUCCUGCACAGGUUGCUUUAGGCAAAUCAGUGUAGGAAGAGAUAUCUUCCCUACAAAGGUAAAUCACGGAGUGAUAGUUGACUUACAAAAUUAUUCAUGAAUGACCCUGAGGUGGAGAAUUUGAAAUCUGCUUUUCAAUCCUCUGACCAUUUUCUCUUUCUACUUCUGAUUGCAGCCGCUGGGGCAAGGCGCAUGGCAGGGGCUGGAAAGGCAGCACCAUUUUCUGCAGCUUUGGCUGCAACCAGCCCCAAGGCCUGGUAGGUAGAAGUUUCUGGAAAAGGCCUCAUGGAGCAGGAAGCGGAUGGCCUCUGAGCAGAGCAGGUGCGGAGGCCCAUGUUGUGGUCAUCUGCACCUCGACCUCAGGCAGGAACUCAAACGGAGAGAUUGAGCUACCACAAGAUGGGCCUGAUCCAGUGUGAUGUUCAGACCUCAGCAGCCACAUUCAAAACAUGCUUUUGUUUUAAACACGUUGACGUCUUUUAAGUUUGAAAUUUUAGAGAGCAUGUCUGUAUUUUCCCCCUAAAAAGCAAUGAGCACGUCUGUGUCCCCUGCCAGCCCCAUUCCCCUGACGACGACGACGUCCCAACUCCACAAGUGACAUGCAGCCACUCAGUGCGAGUCCAAGCUAAUACAAAUAUCUAUUCUCACACACUCCCUCUUUUAAUGAAAAGAGGUAUACACUACAUCCUGCGUUGGACCUUCUUCUUCUUACCUAGGUUUAGAGAUAGUUUAGAGAUGUCCCUCACUGUUUUCCACAGCCUUAUACACAGAAUUCCACCGCAGUACGAGGAGCCUGCGGUUUGUUUAACCAGCAUCAUAUAGAUGCGGUGGGG
This 5483-nucleotide long non-coding RNA is filed under the name Heterocephalus glaber (naked mole-rat). RNAcentral's name for it is "lncRNA (ENSHGLG00100049486.1)". The record is from RNAcentral. Lineage: Eukaryota; Metazoa; Chordata; Mammalia; Rodentia; Bathyergidae.